GACGGGACCGCACAAGCGGUGGAUGAUGUGGUUAAUUCGAUGCAACGCGAAAACCUUACCACCUUUGACAUGGCAGGAAUCCUAAAGAGAUUUGGGAGUGCUCGAAAGAGAACCUGCACACAGGUGCUGCAUGGCUGUCGUCAGCUCGUGUCGUGAGAUGUUGGGUUAAGUCCCGCAACGAGCGCAACCCUUGUCACUAGUUGCCAUCAUUUGGUUGGGCACUCUAGUGAGACUGCCGGUGACAAACCGGAGGAAGGUGGGGAUGACGUCAAGUCCUCAUGGCCCUUAUAGGUGGGGCUACACACGUCAUACAAUGGCCGGUACAGAGGGUAGCCAACCCGCGAGGGGGAGCCAAUCCCACAAAGCCGGCCGUAGUCCGGAUCGCAGUCUGCAACUCGACUGCGUGAAGUCGGAAUCGCUAGUAAUCGCGGAUCAGCAUGUCGCGGUGAAUACGUUCCCGGGUCUU
Molecule: ribosomal RNA, 466 nt
Filed under: uncultured Propionivibrio sp.
Lineage: Bacteria; Pseudomonadati; Pseudomonadota; Betaproteobacteria; Rhodocyclales; Rhodocyclaceae
Description: bacterial SSU rRNA
Rfam family: Bacterial small subunit ribosomal RNA
Source: RNAcentral